UUUGCCUAUGGCCAGACGGGAUCAGGAAAAACAUUCACUAUGUCUGGGCCAGAUGAACUUAACGAUGAGACCAUAGGUGUCAACUAUCGUGCACUAGGAGACCUUUUCUAUCUCUCUGAUCAAAGAAAAGAUACAAUUUCUUAUGAAAUCUCUGUUCAGAUGCUUGAGAUUUACAACGAGCAAGUUAGGGACCUACUUUUGUCCGAUGGCGCUAAUAAAAGGUUAGACAUCCGCAAUAGUUCCCUUAAUGGCAUCAACGUUCCAGAUGCUAACCUUGUUCGGGUUUCAUGCACUUCUGAUGUCAUAAGUUUGAUGAACUUGGGACAUAAGAAUCGUGCUGUUGGUUCUACUGCCAUGAAUGAUCGUAGUAGUCGGUCUCACAGUUGUCUUACAGUUCAUGUUCAAGGAAAGAACUUGACCUCAGGAGGCACAAUUCGUGGUUGCAUGCAUCUGGUUGAUCUGGCAGGAAGUGAGAGGGCUGAUAAAACGGAGGCUACAGGGGAUAGACUCAAGGAGGCUCAACAUAUCAACAAGUCACUUUCUGCAUUGGGAGAUGUAAUUUCUGCCCUUGCCCAAAAGAGUCCACAUGUUCCCUACAGGAAUAGCAAACUCACUCAGCUACUUCAAGAUUCUCUUGGAGGGCAAGCAAAGACUCUCAUGUUUGUUCAUAUAAGUCCGGAGCCCGAAGCUCUUGGAGAAACACUUAGCACACUCAAGUUCGCCGAACGAGUCGCCACUGUCGAACUCGGUUCAGCGCGAGUUAAUAAAGACAAUUCAGAUGUGAAAGAGCUUAAAGAACAGAUUGCUAGUUUGAAGGCAGCCUUAGCGAGAAAGGAAGGAGAAGCAGAACAGUUUAAUAAUUGCAAUGAAACACCUAAGCAUAAAUCAUAUGCAUCUUCUCCUCCUGUGCAUCGGCCUUCCAGUGGUGGAUCUCGUAGGCUAUCAAAAGAUGAUUCUAGUAGCCUGGACAAAAAUGUUGCUUCAACGUUGAAAAGACAAAGCCUAGAUCCUCAUGACAUGGAUGCCAAUUCACCUCAAUGGACAAGUGUUACAAGUGAAAGAAAGGAGGAUGAUAAAGAAUCAAUUUCUGGAGAUUGGGGUGAUAAGAUUUCCAUGAACAGAAAUG
RNAcentral lists this small RNA (1126 nucleotides) under Vigna angularis var. angularis. RNAcentral's name for it is "Non-protein coding transcript". Lineage: Eukaryota; Viridiplantae; Streptophyta; Magnoliopsida; Fabales; Fabaceae. The record is from RNAcentral.